RNAcentral lists this ribosomal RNA (119 nucleotides) under Colobus angolensis palliatus. Lineage: Eukaryota; Metazoa; Chordata; Mammalia; Primates; Cercopithecidae. The record is from RNAcentral.
GUCUACAGCCAUACCACCCCGAACACGCCCCAUCUCGUCUGAUCUCAGAAACUAAGCAUGGUCGGGCCUGGUUAGUACUUGGAUGGGAGACCACCUGGGAAUACCGGGUGCUGUAGGUU